UACGGAGGAGGCAAGCGUUAUCCGGAAUUAUUGGGCGUAAAGCGUCCGCAGGUGGCACUUCAAGUCUGCUGUCAAAGACCGGGGCUUAACCCUAGAAAGGCAGUGGAAACUGAAGUGCUAGAGUGCAGUAGGGGUAGAGGGAAUUCCCGGUGUAGCGGUGAAAUGCGUAGAGAUCGGGAAGAACAUCGGUGGCGAAAGCGCUCUGCUGGACUGCAACUGACACUCAGGGACGAAAGCUAGGGGAGCGAAUGGG
This 253-nucleotide ribosomal RNA is filed under the name uncultured bacterium. RNAcentral describes it as "partial 16S ribosomal RNA". It matches the Rfam family "Bacterial small subunit ribosomal RNA", at positions 524 to 776 of the family's 1533-position model. The record is from RNAcentral.